GGACAUAUAAAGAAUUAUUGGAAGCCCGAAGAUCUCUACAUACACACAUGACGAAACGACAUUAUAGCUCCAUACAACGAUCGAAGGCCUUCUUCUACCAACACGCCAACAAAGGAGGGCGACUGCUGGCCAGAAUGCUUAGAGGCCCCCAAGGCAUGACCCAGGUACAUAAACUGCGGACAUCAGACGGCACGAUCACACAAUUCCCAGAUAAAAUAGCAUCCGAGUUUCGCACAUUUUACGCCUCGUUAUACAACAUCCCGGGACCCACACUACCGGAGGAGGUAACACUCAGACGGGAUAGAAUAAGGAGUUAUAUCGAAUCACACGUGAAGACGAG
Non-coding RNA from Pelobates cultripes (western spadefoot toad), 340 nucleotides. The record is from the annotation of a GenBank genome assembly. NCBI's taxonomy places the organism in Eukaryota, Metazoa, Chordata, Amphibia, Anura, Pelobatidae.